CGGGGCGUGGCGCAGUCCGGUUAGCGCACCUGCUUUGGGAGCAGGAGGUCGCCGGUUCAAAUCCGGCCGCCCCGACCG
Molecule: transfer RNA, 78 nt
Filed under: Bacteroidetes bacterium QS_3_64_15
Lineage: Bacteria; Pseudomonadati; Bacteroidota
Description: tRNA-Pro
Rfam family: tRNA
About the family: Transfer RNA (tRNA) molecules are approximately 80 nucleotides in length. Their secondary structure includes four short double-helical elements and three loops (D, anti-codon, and T loops). Further hydrogen bonds mediate the characteristic L-shaped molecular structure. tRNAs have two regions of fundamental functional importance: the anti-codon, which is responsible for specific mRNA codon recognition, and the 3' end, to which the tRNAs corresponding amino acid is attached (by aminoacyl-tRNA synthetases). tRNAs cope with the degeneracy of the genetic code in two manners: having more than one tRNA (with a specific anti-codon) for a particular amino acid; and 'wobble' base-pairing, i.e. permitting non-standard base-pairing at the 3rd anti-codon position.
Source: RNAcentral